This 438-nucleotide ribosomal RNA is filed under the name uncultured bacterium. Its description in RNAcentral is "partial 16S ribosomal RNA". It matches the Rfam family "Bacterial small subunit ribosomal RNA", at positions 339 to 795 of the family's 1533-position model. The record is from RNAcentral.
CUACGGGGGGCUGCAGUGGGGAAUCUUAGACAAUGGGCGCAAGCCUGAUCUAGCCAUGCCGCGUGAGUGACGAAGGCCUUAGGGUCGUAAAGCUCUUUCGCUGGGGAAGAUAAUGACGGUACCCAGUAAAGAAACCCCGGCUAACUCCGUGCCAGCAGCCGCGGUAAUACGGAGGGGGUUAGCGUUGUUCGGAAUUACUGGGCGUAAAGCGCGCGUAGGCGGAUCAGAAAGUUGGGGGUGAAAUCCCGGGGCUCAACCCCGGAACUGCCUUCAAAACUCCUGGUCUUGGGUUCGAGAGAGGUGAGUGGAAUUCCGAGUGUAGAGGUGAAAUUCGUAGAUAUUCGGAGGAACACCAGUGGCGAAGGCGGCUCACUGGCUCGAUACUGACGCUGAGGUGCGAAAGCGUGGGGAGCAAACAGGAUAGAUACCCCUGUAGUC